Molecule: small RNA, 147 nt
Filed under: Xenorhabdus bovienii str. Jollieti
Lineage: Bacteria; Pseudomonadati; Pseudomonadota; Gammaproteobacteria; Enterobacterales; Morganellaceae
Description: yybP-ykoY
Rfam family: Manganese Mn2+ riboswitch aptamer (yybP-ykoY) (bases 1-126)
About the family: This RNA was originally discovered in E. coli during a large scale screen and was named SraF. The family was later found to exist upstream of related families of protein genes in many bacteria, including the the yybP and ykoK genes in B. subtilis.
Source: RNAcentral
CUUUCAGUCAUUGGGGAGUAGCCUGUUCCAAAACAUUUUUGGAAAAUUCGUAUCAACAUACUCGUUUUCAACAAAACGUGGUACGAGUGCCUGAAGAGUCUAACAAAAAUAAGCUCUGAAUCGGUUGGCAAGACCAUAGACACAUGA